GACGGAGGAUGCAAGCGUUAUCCGGAAUGAUUGGGCGUAAAGCGUCCGCAGGGGGCAGUUCAAGUCUGCUGUCAAAGACCGGGGCUUAACUUCGGAAAGGCAGUGGAAACUGAACAGCUAGAGUAUGGUAGGGGCAGAGGGAAUUCCUGGUGUAGCGGUGAAAUGCGUAGAGAUCAGGAAGAACAUCGGUGGCGAAGGCGCUCUGCUGGACCAUAACUGACACUCAGGGACGAAAGCUAGGGGAGCGAAUGGG
Molecule: ribosomal RNA, 253 nt
Filed under: uncultured bacterium
Lineage: Bacteria
Description: partial 16S ribosomal RNA
Rfam family: Bacterial small subunit ribosomal RNA
Source: RNAcentral